This 238-nucleotide ribosomal RNA is filed under the name uncultured bacterium. Its description in RNAcentral is "partial 16S ribosomal RNA". It matches the Rfam family "Bacterial small subunit ribosomal RNA", at positions 15 to 249 of the family's 1533-position model. The record is from RNAcentral.
GAUCAUGGCUCAGAUUGAACGCUGGCGGCAGGCCUAACACAUGCAAGUCGAACGGUAACAGGAAGCAGCUUGCUGUUUCGCUGACGAGUGGCGGACGGGUGAGUAAUGUCUGGGGAACUGCCUGAUGGAGGGGAGUAACUACUGGAAACGGUAGCUAAUACCGCAUAACGUCGCAAGACCAAAGAGGGGGACCCUCGGGCCUCUUGCCAUCGGAUGUGCCCAGAUGGGAUUAGCUUUG